Molecule: long non-coding RNA, 901 nt
Organism: Salvia splendens (bonfire salvia)
Lineage: Eukaryota; Viridiplantae; Streptophyta; Magnoliopsida; Lamiales; Lamiaceae
Exons: 2
Source: RefSeq, a predicted model, not a curated record
UGCAAGUUUUAUUUCAGAUAAUUCUAUUUUAUGAGAAACUGAAAUUGAAAUUGAAAUUGAAAUUGAAAUUUUUAAGUUUUGAGUUUUGAGUUUUGAUUCCAAGUUUCCAACACGUUAGAUAUAGAAUUAAUGCGAACGCAAAGACCUUACCUUGCGGCGAUGGACUACUGCUUCUGUGUUUUCACUUUCAGUUACUGAAAGUAAUCUCGUGUGUGUUCUUGCACACAUAGUUCUCUCCGCGAGAACAUGUGUCCUUUCUGAUCAACCUAUAUUUACCUACUUUAAUGAUUUGUUUCCCUUUCGGUAUGCUUAUACACAUUCUUUAUCUUCCAAGAAUUAACGAAGAUAGCCCCUUUCAAAUUGAGCAGUGAGAGAGGGUGAUGCAGAGAUCUGCAAUGGCCAAGGCGCUUUUCCAAUCCUCGUCUCUUGCUUGCUCCUCUACUAUGGAUAUCUCCUACAAUUCAUCUAAAGCUUCUCAUAUAUUUGGUUCCCAGUUGAGAUCUCCGGAAAUUGAGCAGACCCAAUUGAGAUUCUUGGAUUCUUCUAAGUAAGUGCCCAAAAGUUGAAAUCUUUAUCUUCAGUAAUUAUUAUUGGAUGCACAUUCCUUGUGGUUUUGCUCUGUAUAUGUUCGUUUCAGGCAACUGUGUAGUGAACUGGUGAUUGUUAUGAUGUUGUAAGAAAAUGUUUAGAAUCAACAAUCGUAGCAGCAUAAUGUAGUGAGUACUAGCAGUCUAGUCCAGUUUGCUCUGAAAUUCUGCUUUAUAUCAACAGCUUUAAACACUUAUGUAACCAAACAUCUAGGUGUGGCUAUGUGUUAGCUAGAAAUCGAGUUUGCUAAUGAAUGUUGUAGAGUUCAGGAAAUUGGUUAAUUGAACUGAAGUCCCUGUGUAUUUGCAUUGCA